GACGAACGCUGGCGGCGUGCUUAACACAUGCAAGUCGAACGGAAAGGCCCCUUUGGGGGUCCUCGAGUGGCGAACGGGUGAGUAACACGUGAGUAACCUGCCCUUGACUUCGGGAUAACUUCAGGAAACUGGGGCUAAUACCGGAUAGGAAUCCUUGCUGCAUGGUGGGGGUUGGAAAGCUUCGGCGGUUUUGGAUGGACUCGCGGCUUAUCAGCUUGUUGGUGGGGUAGUGGCUUACCAAGGCUUUGACGGGUAGCCGGCCUGAGAGGGCGACCGGCCACAUUGGGACUGAGAUACGGCCCAGACUCCUACGGGAGGCAGCAGUGGGGAAUAUUGCACAAUGGGCGGAAGCCUGAUGCAGCAACGCCGCGUGCGGGAUGACGGCCUUCGGGUUGUAAACCGCUUUCGCCUGUGACGAAGCGUGAGUGACGGUAAUGGGUAAAGAAGCACCGGCUAACUACGUG
This 464-nucleotide ribosomal RNA is filed under the name uncultured bacterium. RNAcentral describes it as "partial 16S ribosomal RNA". It matches the Rfam family "Bacterial small subunit ribosomal RNA", at positions 28 to 507 of the family's 1533-position model. The record is from RNAcentral.